This 543-nucleotide ribosomal RNA is filed under the name Sarcocystis grueneri. RNAcentral describes it as "SSU rRNA". It matches the Rfam family "Eukaryotic small subunit ribosomal RNA", at positions 492 to 998 of the family's 1831-position model. The record is from RNAcentral. Lineage: Eukaryota; Apicomplexa; Conoidasida; Eucoccidiorida; Sarcocystidae.
AUUUUAUUUCUAGUGAUUGGAAUGAUGGGAAUUUAAACCCCUUUCAGAGUAACAAUUGGAGGGCAAGUCUGGUGCCAGCAGCCGCGGUAAUUCCAGCUCCAAUAGCGUAUAUUAAAGUUGUUGCAGUUAAAAAGCUCGUAGUUGGAUAUCUGCUGGAAGCAAUCAGUCCGCCCUAUUUGUAGGGUGUGCACUUGAUGAAUUCUGGCAUCUAUUAUGUCCCGAUAGUAAUUGGGAGAAGGGCUAUUGAACGAAAGUUCAGUAGCUUGUGUCUCCGAUUUUAUUAUUGGGAUAAUACUGUUACUUUGAGAAAAUUAGAGUGUUUGAAGCAGGCUAAUUGCCUUGAAUACUGCAGCAUGGAAUAACAAUAUAGGAUUUCGGUUCUAUUUUGUUGGUUUCUAGGACUGAAAUAAUGAUUAAUAGGGACAGUUGGGGGCAUUCGUAUUUAACUGUCAGAGGUGAAAUUCUUAGAUUUGUUAAAGACGAACUACUGCGAAAGCAUUUGCCAAAGAUGUUUUCAUUAAUCAAGAACGAAAGUUAGGGGCU